AUGUCUGUGAACUUCUGGCACCUGGGGGUAUUUGUGGCAUAUCUAGUGUUCCCAGGCUUCCUCAAUCUGGGUGCUCCUGUGCUACCAAUUAUGCUGCACACGACAAGGCAAGGGAGUUUCCACCCCUGCCAAGUACCCCUGAGAUUCUUCCCCAGAUCGAUGUGCUCCUGGAUCCCAAAACCAAAGUUUCCAGUAUCGGAGAAGUUAUUUUUUCUUAACUCAUACUCUCGCACCUUUAGACUUUUCUCCAAGAUUUCUUCUGCUUUGGCCCCAGGGACUGUGCAGUGGACAGCAAUCUUUUCAUUUCUCUUGAUACCAAAGGAUCUAACCAUGUACCUAGCUUUGGAGAACACUGGCCCGUGAGCUGCUCCAGCACCUUGGCUGUGCGGGUCAGUCUGUCUCCACUCUCCCCCACACAGAUGUUGAGGCAGAAUUUGCAGAUCCGAAGCUCCCACAUGGGGUUCUCCUUUUCAUCUUGAUCCUGCGCCAUGGUGGAGAACAGGAAGACUAUUAAAUUUUUUUUAAAGAUUUUAUUUAUUUGAUAGAGAGAGAGAACACGAGCAGGGAGGAGGGUAGAGGGAGAGGGAGAAGCAGACCUCCCUGCCCUUGCUGAGCAGGGAACCCAAUGCAGGACUUGAUUCUAGGACCCUGGGAUCAUGACCUGAGCGGAAGGCAGACAUCUGAGCUACCCAGGUGCCUCUGGUUGGUUGUUUUUGAGUCUCUUCUUGUCUGAUAGUCUUGCUCUGCAUUUUAUUUGAUUUCAUUUUAUUUUAUUCUAUUUCCUUUUAAAAAUCUCAGGACUAGUGUUAUAAGGAUUAAAGGAAAAGAAAACUAGUAUUUUUAAUCAACAAAAUCCUUGCUGUUCAUAUUCAUCUUAUGGGUUAUUUCAGAUUGAUGAAUUUGAAGACACUUCCUUACGAUAUAUGGGAGGAAUUCACUUUGUCUCUCAAGUCUCAAAGGGCAGAGUUUCAAAUUCUCCAGAAACUAGCUCCUAACAGUAACUAGGCCCAGUCUGUAUUCCAAGGGAGGGAGAACCCAGGAACAUUUCUCUCCCAGUGGCUCCCAAAUCUGGUUCCCUGCCAUGCUUAGGAGGUGCAGAGCUCUAGGAGUCAUUUCCAGAAAGAUGUAGGGGGAGCAAUACCAGGGGCAGUUGCCACAGAGCCCCUCCCCCCAGUUUCGGAAUCCUCCCUGUGAGACUGUGCAUGUCUCUAUGCCCUCCAGGUCUGCAGAGCCCGUGGGAGCUGAGAGGAGCAUCACUGUCUGUGAGGAAUGAGCACACCAAGGAGAGCACUUCUGAAGGUGGUGAGCACAGAACCCAGAAUGAUGGCAAUACCUCUACCAGACAUACAAAGGUGCUUAUGAUUUAAUUAGGUAAAGACAAUGGAAAGGGCUCUCCAGACAGAGCUAAGUCUAGGAAAUAUCUUUUUGUAAAAAUUUAAUUUAUUUAUUUGAGAGAGAGAGAGAGAGAAAGGAGUGGGGAUCACAAGUGGGAGUAGGGGCAGAGGGAGAAGCGGAUUCCACACUGAGUGCAGAGGCCAUUGCGGGUCUCCAUCCCAGGACCCUGAGAUCAUGACCUGAGCCAAAAUUCUACUCUUAACUGACUGAGCCAUUUAGGCCCCCCCUAAAAUAUUUUUAAUGUGACUUAAAACUUUCUAAUUUUGACUGAUUAGAAAGCCAUCUGAAUUAAUGAAAUUUUAGAAUUAUAGAACAAAUUUUAUUUUACUUAUUUUUAAAAGAUUUUUAAAAUUUCUUUAUUCAUGAGUGACAGAGAGAGGCGGAGACAUAAGCAGAGAGAGAAGAAGGCUCCUUGCGGGGGCUGGAUGUGGGACUCAAUCCUAGAACACUGGGAUCAUGACCUAAACCAUAGACAGACAUUCAACCACUGUGCUACCCAGGUGCCCUACAAAACAAAUUUUAUUUUUAUUUUAUUUAUUUUUAGAUUUUUAUUUAUUUAUUCACGAAAGACACACAGAGAGAGAGAGACAGAGAGAGAGAGAGGCAGAGACACAGGCAGAGGGAGAAGCAGGCUCCAUGCAGGGAGCUUGAUGUGGGACUGGAUCCAAGGGCUCUAGGAUCACACCCUGGGCUGAAGACGGCACUAAACCACUGGGCCACUGGGGCCGCCCAUCCAAAACAGAUUUUAAAACAAAAUAUUUGAUCAUGAACAAGUCCUUAAAUUAACAAAGGGCCUCAAUCAAUACUUACAGAAUUAAUUUAAUAAACAGAUAAAAAAAAUUUAAAUUCACAAUAGGACAGUCCUAUUAUUUCAGAAUUGCUGGCUUGGGUGAUUACACUUGUUGGGAAAUGGUGACAUGGUCAGUUCUUAUCUUCGGGGUGGCUGAAAAAUUAGAGGAGGUCAAGGUUUUGCAAUAGCUAAGAGGGGUUUCUAAAGAGUUCUUAUCAUCUGUAAGGAUUUGGACAGCUGGAAAAUGUUUGACCUGGGGAGGUUCUGUGAUGUGUGUUUGGGGAGGGAAGCUGGAAGCGUAUCAAUUGCUGCAAAGGUCUGGGAAGGAGGCUUUUCAAUCAAAAGGGUCAGAACAGCUGGGAGGGCAAUUCUGGAAUGUUGUAGCAGGUCUGGGGGAAUGGACUUGGUGUUUCUCAUCAAUGGCAGAGUUGCAACAGCUGGGAAGCCCCAGAACUGGGGAUUUUAAAGAGGAAGAGAAACCGAGACUGUAGGAGGAGAAGGGUGCCUGCAGUGUAGCUCAGCCUGCCAUGCACAGCAUCUGUUUACCACAGGAGUAGCAAUUCCGGCCUUUCUUCUCCAGUGAAUUCUCAGUGCCAAGUUACCUGUCAUCCCUCCAAGGGGCCUCCUUGUUGCUCUCAUUUUCCUCCAGGAACUUAUGUCUAUAAACUGCCAUUCACCUCUUUCGCAACAAUCCUGCAGGACCAGUUCAGUCUGUUAAAAAUAUUAAAGCACCCACAAAUAGCACUUGUGGAAGAUGAUGCUCAUAUUAAAAGUAACUAUUAGAGUUGUAACUAAUGUUUAGUAGUUACUUAUGAUACGUGGAAAAGUUUUGUAUAAAUAGGGUGUUUGGCCAAUCAAACCACAUUUAAAUUUUACUAUAAGAGUUUGCUAUUUCAUUCAAAAGGUGUACAAUAUGUGUUAGUACUGUGUGAGGCUAAAGCAAACAGUUCUUUAAAAUGCAAAUAACUGCCAGUCCUAUUGAAUACAAUUUGUAGGUUUGAAUUUUUUUAAUCGUUAUAAUAUUGAAAUAUAACAAAAUAGGGAUCCCUGGGUGGCGCAGCGGUUUGGCGCCUGCCUUUGGCCCAGGGCGUGAUCCUGGAGACCCGGGAUCGAGUCCCACGUCGGGCUCCCGGUGCAUGGAGCCUGCUUCUCCCUCUGCCUGUGUCUCUGCCUCUCCCUCUCUCUGUGUGACUAUCAUAAAUAAAUUAAAAAUAAAUAAAUAAAUAAAAAUGAAAUAUAACAAAAUAUACUAAAGUGAAUAAAACAAAUAUAUGGUGUAAUAAUUAAUUAGCAUAAAAUGAACACCCAUGUAACCACCCCUCAGAACAUUUCUGAACCUCAGAGGUCCCCUAUGGCCCCUCUCCCUCCCAAAUGUAAAAUUAUCCUCAAUUACUCUGACAUCUAAUGCUGUUUAGUUUUUCUCAUUUCUAAACUUUAUAUACAACAAAUCAGAGAGUUUAUACUUUUAUGUAUUUGGCUUCUCAUAACAUUAGUGAGAUUUGUUAGGGUUGUGCUUAUCUGCAGUUCAUUCAUUUUCUUGACUGAAUAGUAUAUAAUUUCCAAAACCAACUCAUCCAUUUUACUGUUCUGACACUUAGAUUGUUUCCAGUUUUGAGCUCUUACAAAAUUGCUGUACACACACAGAAAUGCAUGGUACACACAGAGAGCUAUAAGCUCUGGAAGUCAUUUCCGAGAUGAAGCAUUUAGUAGUUGGCACAUGACCCUCAUAUUCUCUUUCCUGGAAACCGUUUGUCCCAGGUGGCAUAGUUACAAGAUACAAGCAGCCUGGAUCCCUGAGUAACCACUUGGAAGGGAGCUGCCUUGGAGAACCACUAGAUCUGCAGUGGAUUUUGCAUGAC
Molecule: long non-coding RNA, 4044 nt
Filed under: Canis lupus familiaris (dog)
Lineage: Eukaryota; Metazoa; Chordata; Mammalia; Carnivora; Canidae
Description: lncRNA (ENSCAFG00040003927.1)
Source: RNAcentral